RNAcentral lists this ribosomal RNA (253 nucleotides) under uncultured bacterium. RNAcentral describes it as "partial 16S ribosomal RNA". It matches the Rfam family "Bacterial small subunit ribosomal RNA", at positions 524 to 776 of the family's 1533-position model. The record is from RNAcentral.
UACGUAGGGGGCAAGCGUUGUCCGGAAUCAUUGGGCGUAAAGAGCGUGUAGGCGGCUCGGUAAGUCCGCUGUGAAAGUCCAGGGCUCAACCCUGGAAUGCCGGUGGAAACUGUCGAGCUAGAGUCCGGAAGAGGCGAGUGGAAUUCCUGGUGUAGCGGUGAAAUGCGCAGAUAUCAGGAGGAACACCAGUGGCGAAGGCGACUCUCUGGUCUGUAACUGACGCUGAGGCGCGAAAGCGUGGGGAGCAAACAGG